Molecule: long non-coding RNA, 715 nt
Organism: Ornithodoros turicata
Lineage: Eukaryota; Metazoa; Arthropoda; Arachnida; Ixodida; Argasidae
Exons: 3
Source: RefSeq, a predicted model, not a curated record
ACUCUCACCCUUGCUUUGCAGCUUGUACAACACUGUACCGACUGUACAAUCAGUAUACAAUCUUGGUCUGUACCAGUGGCGGAUCCGGAAGCGAGGGUAUGGAUCCGCCGGAUCCGCCUCUGGUUUGUACGCAUGUGUGAGAAUGUGAGAAGAAGCAGCGCCUAUAGCUAUUCGGUAUUGCAAUAAACGAUCUAUGGACGAAGCGGAGGAGGAGGAAGAAGAAACGAUCUGAGGACAGCCUAAAUUCACCAAAGGAAUGAUACCACCAAAAUAUUGCGACGUAAGAUCACGUAAAACUAUGGACCCCCGUGGUGCUGCUGAUGCCUCUAUGUUGGCCAUUCUUGGUGUGUCUGUCUUGUCGCUUGGCCACGUGGUUGUAUCGUCUGUUUCUGGCAACCUUGGUCGUGUGGGGUAUCUGCCUUGCACGGACGCCUUCCAGAGGAAUACCAGCAGACGACAGCGACUACCCGCAUACGCCGCUCGCUCACAUUAAUCAGCCUCAGAAGACUGAGUCUUUUUCGAUAAUGCUCACCGGUCGAGUGUCAACGAGCUGCGAGGCCUCAGAACUGGAACCGUCGGUUCACGUUUCUUCCAGGAGCAGUCUAACGAUGAGAAGUCGAGCGUCCAGGCGGUCGGUUUCAGCGUCGUCAUCGUAGCCUUGCUCCUGUCUAAUUGGCACAUCGGUACUGUGGAAUAAAACGUUUGCGGGUCACCA